RNAcentral lists this transfer RNA (72 nucleotides) under Camelus bactrianus (Bactrian camel). It matches the Rfam family "tRNA". From Rfam's summary of the family: Transfer RNA (tRNA) molecules are approximately 80 nucleotides in length. Their secondary structure includes four short double-helical elements and three loops (D, anti-codon, and T loops). Further hydrogen bonds mediate the characteristic L-shaped molecular structure. tRNAs have two regions of fundamental functional importance: the anti-codon, which is responsible for specific mRNA codon recognition, and the 3' end, to which the tRNAs corresponding amino acid is attached (by aminoacyl-tRNA synthetases). tRNAs cope with the degeneracy of the genetic code in two manners: having more than one tRNA (with a specific anti-codon) for a particular amino acid; and 'wobble' base-pairing, i.e. permitting non-standard base-pairing at the 3rd anti-codon position. The record is from Rfam by way of RNAcentral. RNAcentral also lists the same sequence under 3 other names. Lineage: Eukaryota; Metazoa; Chordata; Mammalia; Artiodactyla; Camelidae.
GAGGGUAUAGCUCAGUGGUAGAGUGUGUGCUUAGCAUGCAUGAGGUCCAGGGUUCAGUCCUCAGUACCUCUG